UGUGGCCCUAUUAAAUUGUUCUGAAACCAAAUUACUGUCCUCAAGGUUGUUGUUUACGCACACAUUCUCAUUUGUUCUUGUUCUGCUUGAACCAGUGGGUGGGUGAAUUCACCCCACACACACACACACACACACACACACCAUAAUCACCCCAUCCUCUGAACAUAUAAACCCACCCCAUCUUUAUGUCUACAAAUACUCAAUGCUCACUGCAGACCAACAGAGGACAGCAUCCCUGAGACCAAACAGAAGCCUUCCUUCUGCACACCAGUUCCCGAAUAAGCUACUGAGAAGAUGUUGUCACACAAGUGUUUUCUGCCUAUCUUGGCUCUGUGCCUUUUAAUGGACGAGGUGUAUUCAUUCCUGCUGCCUGACAGGCUACAAUUAACCAGAAGCAGCCACAGGUCACGUCGAGAUCUCUCUUCUCACCUGUCAGAGCUUUCGGAUCUGGUAGAGCUCAUUCCCGAUAACGGCGGGGAAAUGACCCGUGACUGGGAGCCUAACCCAGCUCGAUCGUCGACCGUCUUCUCUGUCCCUGUGGAACGCAUUUCAACACCUCACACCAACACACAACACCACAGGAAUAAAGAC
This is a long non-coding RNA of Tachysurus fulvidraco (yellow catfish), 591 nucleotides long. RefSeq lists it as uncharacterized. The transcript has 3 exons. The record is from RefSeq and is a predicted model, not a curated record. NCBI's taxonomy places the organism in Eukaryota, Metazoa, Chordata, Actinopteri, Siluriformes, Bagridae.